RNAcentral lists this ribosomal RNA (683 nucleotides) under Triatoma rubrovaria. RNAcentral describes it as "SSU rRNA". It matches the Rfam family "Eukaryotic small subunit ribosomal RNA", at positions 508 to 1105 of the family's 1831-position model. Lineage: Eukaryota; Metazoa; Arthropoda; Insecta; Hemiptera; Reduviidae. The record is from RNAcentral.
AUCGGAAUGAGUACACUUUAAAUCCUUUAACAAGGAUCCAUUGGAGGGCAAGUCUGGUGCCAGCAGCCGCGGUAAUUCCAGCUCCAAUAGCGUAUAUUAAAGUUGUUGCGGUUAAAAAGCUCGUAGUUGGUUCUGCGUGCCGCGCUGUCGGUUCGCCGCCUGUCGGUGUAACUGGCAUGUCGCGGCAUGUCCUGUCGGUGGUGAACGGAGUCCACGACGCUACAUGGGCUUUAUAGUCGAUGUUAGCAUCGUGUGUACUUCCGUUGGCCGAUCUCUCCUACUUCGGUGCUCUUAAACGAGUGUCGAGGUAGGCCGACACGUUCACUUUGAACAAAUUAGAGUGCUUAAAGCAGGCUGAAAUAUCUGCCUGAAUAGUGGUGCAUGGAAUGAUAAAACAGGACCUCGGUUCUAUUUUGUUGGUUUUAGGAAUAUGAGGUAAUGAUCAAUGUGGACUGGCGGGGGCAUUCGUAUUGCGACGUUAGAGGUGAAAUUCUUGGAUCGUCGCAAGACGCACUAGAGCGAAAGCAUUUGCCAAGUAUGUCUUAAUUGAUCAAGAACGAAAGUUAGAGGUUCGAAGGCGAUCAGAUACCGCCCUAGUUCUAACCAUAAACGAUGCCAGCCAGCGAUCCGCCGAUGUUCCUUUAAUGACUCGGCGGGGAGCUUCCACCCGGGAAACCAAAGCU